CAACGCCGUCGCCGGAUGGCGCGAGGAGCGGAGGUCGACCAGGAGCUGCAGCAGCAGCCCUUGGUGGAUCAGGUGAAGGAAUAUCAGGCGCGAUCCAGGCAGGCCUGGGCAGCCUCAUCCUUCCUCUCCGCCACCUCCACCGCAAGCUCCAGUUCCUCAUGGCUUGACGGUUUGCUCGUCAUAUGGGAGCUAGUGUUAUUUGCUUUACUGCUAGUCACGUUUGUUGCUUUUUAUUUCAAAUUCGUAGGACUUGCUUUCUGCUUUGCAUUUGGUGCUGCACUUCUUUAUAUAUGCAUGAGACUAGAGAGAAAGCACAAGAGAAGUAAACAAAGAAUGCUUCUUCCAUUGUCAAUGUAACAUACACCUGACUUCUGCAAAUGCUUCUGUCACAACAUGUAAAGUGUUCUCUUUAAUUCGUGAAUACAUUGUACACUUACGGCAUUGAUCAUACACUAUUUUUCUCUCUGAGUA
Long non-coding RNA from Lolium rigidum, 471 nucleotides. RefSeq lists it as uncharacterized. The record is from RefSeq and is a predicted model, not a curated record. NCBI's taxonomy places the organism in Eukaryota, Viridiplantae, Streptophyta, Magnoliopsida, Poales, Poaceae. The transcript is spliced from 2 exons.